GUACUUUCAUUCUAAGGUUUCACAAAGGUGUAAGAGAAACAAGAUUACUAGCAUUCUUAGUGCUGAUGGAAGAUGGUGUGAUGAUGGGGAGAUGUAUGCUGAGAUUUUGAAGCAUGACAAUGAGGUGUUCUGUUCCAUUAAUCAUGGUAAUAGGGAGAACUUGUUACCUAUUAUACAACCAAGAGUUACUGAAGCUAUAAACUCAUCCUUAGAUGAUGUUUUCCAUCCUGAUGAAGUCUUGUGUGCCUAAACUCAGAUGCAUCCUCACAAAUCCCCAGGAUUGGAUGGUAUGUUUCAUUUUUUCUUUAAGCAAUAUUGGCUUCUGGUGAGUGAAGGUGUUACAAAAGCUGUUUUAUCCAUUUUGAAUUAUGGACAAUUACCUAUUGAAUUAAACCAUACUUUUAUUGUUUUGAUUCCUAAAUUGAAUAAUCCUACUAAGGUUGGAGACUAUUGGCCUAUUAGUUUGUGCAAUGUGAUUUACAACUUAGUAUCCAAAGUGCUGGCAAACAUAUUGAAGAGGAUCUUAUCACUCAUUAUGUCGGAAAACCAGAGUGCUUUUGUUCUGGGCAAGCAAAUUUCUGAUAAUUUUAUUAUUGCUUUUAAUCUUAUUAAUUUCUUACACCAUAAAACUUAGGGGAAGAAAGGUUUUAUGUCUAUUAAACUUGAUAUCAAUAAAAUAUGAGAGUGAAAUAGUGUUUCCUUGAAAGUGUCAUGAGGUAAAUGGGUUUUAAUGACAAGUGGGUAUCUUUAAUAAUGAUGGUAUUUCCACUGUAUCUUACACCAUUUAGUGAAUGGUAUUCCUAAAGGGCCUAUUAUUCCUUCUUGGGAUUAAGACUAGGGGAUCCUAGCAUCUUUAUUGAGUCUCAGCCUUGUUAAGAUGUUGGUGCUUUUAUUCUAUGUUUGCAGCAGAAUGUGAUCGAUCUGAAUUUUUUUGAGUUCUUGACAAUAGCUUGGAGUUUAUGGUAUAGAAGAAAUUUGGCUAUUUUUCAAAGCAAAUACAUUGCACCUGAUGUUGCUGUUCAAAAUGUUUUUAAUUUGUUUUGGAGCUAUCAGCAGGUACAUUCUCAACAAAAAUUAGUAGAUAGAGCAUUGUCUUCUAUUGUGGUAAAAACCUUUUUCUGGUAGUGUUAAGUUGAAUGUGGAUGAGGCUCUUUUAUAUGAUUUAAUUAAGUUUGGUGUGGGUGCUGUUUUAAGGGAUGAUUGUGGACCUGUUUUACUGGUUGUGUGCAAUGUGGUGAAUUGAGUUUGUACAGUUUCAGUGGAAGCUCUUGCCAUUCUCAGGGGUUUGCAAUUCAUUUCUCAUAUAGGAUUCCAAGUUGUCGAGUUCCAUCAUAUUCCUCAUGAAGCAAAUUCAAUAGCACAUACUUUGGCUAGAUUUUGU
Juglans microcarpa x Juglans regia is the source of this 1381-nucleotide long non-coding RNA. RefSeq lists it as uncharacterized. The record is from RefSeq and is a predicted model, not a curated record. Lineage: Eukaryota; Viridiplantae; Streptophyta; Magnoliopsida; Fagales; Juglandaceae. The transcript has 2 exons.